This 490-nucleotide ribosomal RNA is filed under the name uncultured bacterium. RNAcentral describes it as "partial 16S ribosomal RNA". It matches the Rfam family "Bacterial small subunit ribosomal RNA", at positions 29 to 507 of the family's 1533-position model. The record is from RNAcentral.
AGUGAACGCUGGCGGCAGGCCUAACACAUGCAAGUCGAACGGCAGCACAAGAGAGCUUGCUCUCUGGGUGGCGAGUGGCGGACGGGUGAGGAAUGCAUCGGAAUCUGCCCAUUUGUGGGGGAUAACCUCGGGAAACCGGGACUAAUACCGCAUACGACCUACGGGUGAAAGCAGGGGAUCUUCGGACCUUGCGCAGAUGGAUGAGCCGAUGCCGGAUUAGCUAGUUGGAGGGGUAAAGGCCCACCAAGGCGACGAUCCGUAGCUGGUCUGAGAGGAUGAUCAGCCACACUGGGACGGAGACACGGCCCAGACUCCUACGGGAGGCAGCAGUGGGGAAUAUUGGACAAUGGGCGCAAGCCUGAUCCAGCCAUGCCGCGUGUGUGAAGAAGGCCUUCGGGUUGUAAAGCACUUUUGUUGGGAAAGAAAAGCAGCCGGUUAAUACCCGGUUGUCAUGACGGUACCCAAGGAAUAAGCACCGGCUAACUUCGUG